AUGAGGAUCCUAAGUUGGAACUGUCGGGGCCUGGGGCAGCCCCGGACAGUUCAAGAACUUGUGUGCUUGGUUAGCACACACCUUUCUUCUAUCGUUUUUCUCUCUGAAACUAGGCAGAAUAAGGAGCGGGUAAAUAACCUUAGGUGGCGGCUGAGUCUUAAAGACGGUUUGCUGCAUGAUGGUAGGGGAAAAGGUGGAGGUAUCGCCUUGUACUGGGAUGAAUCUGUUGAAAUAAAAAAACUAUCACUUGGCCCGCGGUACAUAGAUGUGUUGAUUCGUAAUAAUCCUAAUGAACAAUGGUGGAGGGGUACGUUCAUCUAUGGAGAACCAGAAGCACAUGAAAGGAUCCACAUGUGGAACUUAAUCAGGAGAAUUAAGAAUAACUCAAAUGCGCCUUGGAUGUUGAUUGGUGACUUUAAGAAAACGUAG
RNAcentral lists this ribosomal RNA (429 nucleotides) under Triticum aestivum (bread wheat). RNAcentral describes it as "partial small subunit ribosomal RNA". The record is from RNAcentral. Lineage: Eukaryota; Viridiplantae; Streptophyta; Magnoliopsida; Poales; Poaceae.